Molecule: non-coding RNA, 206 nt
Organism: Cinara cedri
Lineage: Eukaryota; Metazoa; Arthropoda; Insecta; Hemiptera; Aphididae
Source: the annotation of a GenBank genome assembly
ACAGGCAAAGGGUCAGGGCCCAACACUCUGCCAACGAUACGAUUACUGUGUGGUAGGGAAGGAUGUUAACAAGGGGACUAUUGCAUUGUAUUAAAUCUGAAAACGAUGAUCGGGUAUGUUUUGAUGUGUGUGAUGUUUGUGCCGAGAUAACUUUUUGACAUUCGAUGAUCACUUCUGACAAUUUGAAGCAGCUCCUAAACGUUUAA